UACGUAGGCAGCGAGCGUUGUUCGGAAUUACUGGGCGUAAAGAGUGUGUAGGCGGUGCUCUAAGUUCGGUGUGAAAUCUCCCGGCUUAACUGGGAGGGUGCGCCGGAAACUGGAGUGCUCGAGCGUGGGAGAGGAAAGCGGAAUUCCUGGUGUAGCGGUGAAAUGCGUAGAUAUCUGGAGGAACACCCGUGGUGCAGACGGCUUGCUGGACCGUGACUGACGCUGAGGCACGAAAGCGUGGGUAGCAAACAGG
RNAcentral lists this ribosomal RNA (253 nucleotides) under uncultured bacterium. Its description in RNAcentral is "partial 16S ribosomal RNA". It matches the Rfam family "Bacterial small subunit ribosomal RNA", at positions 524 to 776 of the family's 1533-position model. The record is from RNAcentral.